This 28-nucleotide non-coding RNA is filed under the name Rattus norvegicus (Norway rat). The record is from RNAcentral. Lineage: Eukaryota; Metazoa; Chordata; Mammalia; Rodentia; Muridae.
CCUUCUCAGCUGAGAAGGCAGCCACGUC